GUCCACGCCGUAAACGAUGGGUGCUAGGUGUGGGCGGUGUCGACUCCGUCCGUGCCGAAGCUAACGCAUUAAGCACCCCGCCUGGGGAGUACGGCCGCAAGGCUAAAACUCAAAGGAAUUGACGGGGGCCCCGCACAAGCAGCGGAGCAUGUGGUUCAAUUCGACGCAACGCGAAGAACCUUACCAAGGCUUGACAUGCACAGGAAUGUCCGGAGAAAUUCGGCAGCCCUUCGGGGCCUGUGUACAGGUGGUGCAUGGCUGUCGU
Molecule: ribosomal RNA, 265 nt
Filed under: uncultured bacterium
Lineage: Bacteria
Description: partial 16S ribosomal RNA
Rfam family: Bacterial small subunit ribosomal RNA
Source: RNAcentral